RNAcentral lists this non-coding RNA (92 nucleotides) under human gut metagenome. RNAcentral describes it as "THF riboswitch". It matches the Rfam family "THF (Tetrahydrofolate) riboswitch aptamer". From Rfam's summary of the family: THF riboswitch presents a pseudoknot that joins P1-P2 and the loop of P3 and two THF binding. The record is from RNAcentral.
GCAGAGUAGGGAAGCGCGUGUCAAGUGCCGGCGGGACGGGGAGUUGUCCGCUGGACGAAGCCAUGCGCAGUGCGCUUCCCGCAUCCCGCUGC